CCUACGGGAGGCAGCAGUGGGGAAUAUUGCACAAUGGGGGAAACCCUGAUGCAGCGACGCCGCGUGAGUGAAGAAGUAUUUCGGUACGGAAAGCUCUAUCAGCAGGGAAGAAAAUGACGGUACCUGACUAAGAAGCCCCGGAUAACUACGUGCCAGGCGCCGCGGUAAUACGUAGGGGGCAAGCGUUAUCCGGAUUUACUGGGUGUAAAGGGAGCGUAGACGGCAGCUCAAGUAUGGAGUGAAAUCCGAUGGCUUAAACCUGGAACUGCAUUGGAAACUGGGCGGCUUGAGUGCAGGAGAGGUAAGCGGAAUUCCUAGUGUAGCGGUGAAAUGCGUAGAUAUUAGGAGGAACACCAGUGGCGAAGGCGGCUUACUGGACUGUAACUGACGUUGAGGCUCGAAGGCGUGGGGAGCAAACAGGAUUAGAUACCCUUGUAGUC
This 440-nucleotide ribosomal RNA is filed under the name uncultured bacterium. RNAcentral describes it as "partial 16S ribosomal RNA". It matches the Rfam family "Bacterial small subunit ribosomal RNA", at positions 338 to 795 of the family's 1533-position model. The record is from RNAcentral.